Molecule: unclassified non-coding RNA, 409 nt
Filed under: Hevea brasiliensis (rubber tree)
Lineage: Eukaryota; Viridiplantae; Streptophyta; Magnoliopsida; Malpighiales; Euphorbiaceae
Source: RNAcentral
CAAGUUUGAUCCAUGGGACUUACCAGGUUGCUUUGCUUUACACAGAUAAUAGAUAUAUAUCUAUGGCUGCCUUUGGAGAGAAAGAAUGGUACUUUUUCAGUCCUAGAGAUCGUAAGUAUCCCAAUGGAGCUAGGCCUAACAGAGCAGCAGCUUCAGGGUAUUGGAAGGCAACUGGCACAGACAAGGUCAUAGUGGCAUCAUCAGCAAUACGUGCAGGUGCUGGUGUAGGAGUGCAAGAGAACAUUGGUGUUAAGAAGGCUCUUGUCUUCUACAGGGGAAGGCCUCCCAAGGGAAUCAAGACUAAUUGGAUUAUGCAUGAAUAUCGCCUAGCUGAUGCCCCUGCCCACAACGUCAAGCCAAUCAAGCCUAAAGAUUCAUCCUCCACUGCAAUGAGGCUUGAUGAUUGGGU